RNAcentral lists this ribosomal RNA (253 nucleotides) under uncultured bacterium. Its description in RNAcentral is "partial 16S ribosomal RNA". It matches the Rfam family "Bacterial small subunit ribosomal RNA", at positions 524 to 776 of the family's 1533-position model. The record is from RNAcentral.
UACAUGGGGUGCAAACGUUGCUCGGAAUUAUUGGGCGUAAAGCGCACGUAGGCGGUCCGUUAAGUCAGAUGUGAAAGCCCCCGGCUCAACCGGGGAGGUGCAUCUGAAACUGGCGGGCUAGAGUACGAAAGAGGGUCGCGGAAUUCCCGGUGUAGAGGUGAAAUUCGUAGAUAUCGGGAGGAACACCAGUGGCGAAGGCGGCGAUCUGGGAAGAUACUGACGCUGAGGUGCGAAAGCGUGGGGAGCAAACAGG